GGAAGAUUUCUAAUGGGAAUAGGAGCUGGACUUCUCCUUUACGUGGCUCCUAUAUACAUUGCAGAAAUCGCGCCAAAGAGUAUUCGAGGCGGAUGCACAGCUGUAUUUGCGUUCAUGCUAUAUUUUGGUUUUUCACUCAUGUUUCUGAUUGGCAAUAUCCUUACUUGGCGCACCUUGGCUGUAGUAGGAGUUAUACCCUCUUUGGUGCAGUUACCAGGCAUAUUCUUCAUACCAG
This 235-nucleotide unclassified non-coding RNA is filed under the name Hevea brasiliensis (rubber tree). Lineage: Eukaryota; Viridiplantae; Streptophyta; Magnoliopsida; Malpighiales; Euphorbiaceae. The record is from RNAcentral.